GAUUGAUAUGAUCAUGAACUUUGACCGGUCACAUGUCCAGCGCAGUGUGUGAGGAAGUGAUCUGUCCAGUAAGAGUGUGUGUGUGUGACGGGUCUCCUCUGUUGCAGCGCGUGCGGGACGUGUGUGUGGAGUUCAGUCACCCGGAUCUGCUGGAGUUUUACACACAGAUGGAGAGGAUUCAGACGCAGCUGGACUCGCUCACGUGACCUGCGUCUGGAGUGUGUGUGUGUGUGUGUGAUGGUGAAGAGGAUCACACACACCUGAUGAUGAUGUCAUUAAACAUGUUUCAUGUUG
Non-coding RNA from Pimephales promelas (fathead minnow), 294 nucleotides. The record is from RefSeq and is a predicted model, not a curated record. Lineage: Eukaryota; Metazoa; Chordata; Actinopteri; Cypriniformes; Leuciscidae.